AUAUUGUAUGCAUUAGUUUUGAGCGCGUGUUAUACUUAAAAGUAUAACACGCGCUCAAAACUAAUGCGUAUAUAA
Molecule: non-coding RNA, 75 nt
Organism: Paramuricea clavata
Lineage: Eukaryota; Metazoa; Cnidaria; Anthozoa; Malacalcyonacea; Plexauridae
Source: the annotation of a GenBank genome assembly